This 497-nucleotide ribosomal RNA is filed under the name uncultured bacterium. RNAcentral describes it as "partial 16S ribosomal RNA". It matches the Rfam family "Bacterial small subunit ribosomal RNA", at positions 28 to 507 of the family's 1533-position model. The record is from RNAcentral.
GAUGAACGCUGGCGGCGUGCCUAAUACAUGCAAGUCGAGCGAACAGACGAGGAGCUUGCUCCUUUGACGUUAGCGGCGGACGGGUGAGUAACACGUAGGUAACCUACCUAUAAGACUGGGAUAACUUCGGGAAACCGGAGCUAAUACCGGAUAAUAUUUCGAACCGCAUGGUUCGAUAGUGAAAGAUGGCUUUGCUAUCACUUAUAGAUGGACCUGCGCCGUAUUAGCUAGUUGGUAAGGUAACGGCUUACCAAGGCAACGAUACGUAGCCGACCUGAGAGGGUGAUCGGCCACACUGGAACUGAGACACGGUCCAGACUCCUACGGGAGGCAGCAGUAGGGAAUCUUCCGCAAUGGGCGAAAGCCUGACGGAGCAACGCCGCGUGAGUGAUGAAGGUCUUCGGAUCGUAAAACUCUGUUAUUAGGGAAGAACAAACGUGUAAGUAACUGUGCACGUCUUGACGGUACCUACUCAGAAAGCCACGGCUAACUACGUG